GACGAACGCUGGCGGCGUGCUUAACACAUGCAAGUCGAACGGAAAGGCCCUGCUUUUGUGGGGUGCUCGAGUGGCGAACGGGUGAGUAACACGUGAGUAACCUGCCCUUGACUUUGGGAUAACUUCAGGAAACUGGGGCUAAUACCGGAUAGGAGCUCCUGCUGCAUGGUGGGGGUUGGAAAGUUUCGGCGGUUGGGGAUGGACUCGCGGCUUAUCAGCUUGUUGGUGGGGUAGUGGCUUACCAAGGCUUUGACGGGUAGCCGGCCUGAGAGGGUGACCGGCCACAUUGGGACUGAGAUACGGCCCAGACUCCUACGGGAGGCAGCAGUGGGGAAUAUUGCACAAGGGGCGGAAGCCUGAUGCAGCAACGCCGCGUGCGGGAUGACGGCCUUCGGGUUGUAAACCGCUUUCGCCUGUGACGAAGCGUGAGUGACGGUAAUGGGGAAAGAAGCACCGGCUAACUACGU
RNAcentral lists this ribosomal RNA (467 nucleotides) under uncultured bacterium. RNAcentral's name for it is "partial 16S ribosomal RNA". It matches the Rfam family "Bacterial small subunit ribosomal RNA", at positions 28 to 506 of the family's 1533-position model. The record is from RNAcentral.